AGCAGCAGCCGCGGUAAUACGUAGGUGGCAAGCGUUGUCCGGAAUUAUUGGGCGUAAAGGGCUCGCAGGCGGUUUCUUAAGUCUGAUGUGAAAGCCCCCGGCUCAACCGGGGAGGGUCAUUGGAAACUGGGAAACUUGAGUGCAGAAGAGGAGAGUGGAAUUCCACGUGUAGCGGUGAAAUGCGUAGAGAUGUGGAGGAACACCAGUGGCGAAGGCGACUCUCUGGUCUGUAACUGACGCUGAGGAGCGAAAGCGUGGGGAGCGAACAGGAUUAGAUACCCCGGUAGUCCUGUCUCUUAUACA
RNAcentral lists this ribosomal RNA (303 nucleotides) under uncultured bacterium. Its description in RNAcentral is "partial 16S ribosomal RNA". It matches the Rfam family "Bacterial small subunit ribosomal RNA", at positions 507 to 809 of the family's 1533-position model. The record is from RNAcentral.